Molecule: ribosomal RNA, 292 nt
Filed under: uncultured bacterium
Lineage: Bacteria
Description: partial 16S ribosomal RNA
Rfam family: Bacterial small subunit ribosomal RNA
Source: RNAcentral
GUGCCAGCAGCCGCGGUAAUACGGAGGAUGCAAGCGUUAUCCGGAAUGAUUGGGCGUAAAGCGUCCGCAGGUGGCGAUGUAAGUCUGCUGUUAAAGAGUCUAGCUCAACUAGAUAAGAGCAGUGGAAACUACAUAGCUAGAGUACGUUCGGGGCAGAGGGAAUUCCUGGUGUAGCGGUGAAAUGCGUAGAGAUCAGGAAGAACACCAGUGGCGAAGGCGCUCUGCUAGGCCGUAACUGACACUGAGGGACGAAAGCUAGGGGAGCGAAUGGGAUUAGAUACCCGGGUAGUCC